UUUGAAAUUUUGCAAGGGGAUUUGUUUUUAGGGGAAUUUAUGGUAUUAAAUUUUGAUGGUUUAAAAGGUCGAGGGGAUGGGGAGAUAAAAGAGGAUCGUGUGUGUAUCCAGUGAGGUCGUUUUAAAUAAUAAAGCCCACCCUUAAAAGAAAAUUCAUCUGGCUCGGUGCCUUUUUAGUUUUGUCUGGUCCGACGAUUUCAAAAUGUAUUUUUCUUCUCUUGUUAAAAAUAAAUACAAAUUGACUUUCAGAUUAAAUUGGGCAAUAAUCAUGCUUCGUUCGUGUUUAUUAAGGGUUGUCUAAUUAACAAUAAUGCCGGACGUUUAGAAUGAGGAACUCGAUAUCCGUGUAGAAACAUAGUAAAAAUAGGAUCUCUGAUAAGAAGCAAAUUCUGGGAUAAUUAAAUCGUUUUUUUUUCAUCUUAUACAUUAUUAAUACAAACGGUAGAGUUUUUCUAUAUUUACCGGUAUCCCUCGUAUAACACGGUAGUUACGUUCCGAAAAAGUGCUGUUACGCCAAUCCGUGCCAUAGGAAACAAACGGCUAAUUUAGGUUAGGCUUACGUUUCAGAAGUUAGCAACGAAAAAGAAUUGUAUACUUUUGAUAAGAGAAAUAUGUUUAUUAAAACAUUCGAUAAUUAAUUAACAAUCGCAAUUAAAAAUAUUGUAUUACGCGUUAAUAUUAAUUUUACUUAAGUCGGGGCCUUUUUCUUUUUACAAAGGGUCGUCGUCUUCUCGGCUUUUUUGUCCAUCUUCAUCGAAAGUAUGGGAAACGUUUUCGUAUUUUUCAUUUUUAUCAUAAACAGUUUUUAUGAUUAAAACGAAAUAAAAAUAUGUUACUAAUCGAUGAUUUGUUCUAGUGGGUGGCAUUUGUUCGGUCGAGUACAGAACGACUCUUUUUUUCCAGAAUUUGUGUUUGAGUACCGAGAUACCGCCGUAUUUCGUGUACGAUUACUUCAUUUUUAAAAAUGAAGUAAUCGUACACGAAAUACACGGUCUGGAAAAAAGUUUAAUAACACUUAAAAUCCAGCAGCAUUUUGUGGCGCCAUCUUUUAUAAAUAUUUUGAAAAAAAAUUUUAUUUUUUAACUACUAUAUUAUAAAAUGGCAAAAAACGUAAUUUUGAGGGUAGGGAUGGGUAUUAUAAAAGAAUAGUAAAUGCUAAUAAUAACCAGUAAAAUUGUCAUUAAGUCCGACCCUACCAGAUAUAUACCCCCGCCUUUCUCUCUCCACCCCCUCGACCUUUAAUCACCAAAAUUUAAUAGCAUCGAUCAUCUCCUAAUACAGAAACCUCCCUGCAAAAUUUCAGAAAUUUUUCUACAAAAAGCUAUUAAGCUUGAACAAAAUCGUGCCACGCUCACAUUCACACUAACAUCCAUCCAUACAUGCAGAAUUACUUCCACAAUUUUUUGCAUUUCUCGAUGUUUCGAGGUGUCCCAAGUCCAAAAGAAAUGUAAAAAUCUUGCAGGGGUCUUUUUUUGACUGGCCAUACUUUCCUUCUUAUAUAUAACAACCGGAAAAGUAAAAAGAGGAAUUAGAGUAAUAUAUAAUGAAGGAAAACUGGUUAGGAGCCGUCAGCGAUAAUAUUCGUUAACGAUUACACGAAUGAAUAUUAUCCCUUAAUUAAAAUAAUUCAUACGGUUCAAAGCGUUGCUUUCCGGAAAAGAUCUCAGCCCUACGGGGGAAUCGGUUUGAUUUUAUGUAAAUUUUUAAAGCCAAAUAAAGAACUACUCUGGGUACAAACUUUUCCUUAAAUGAACGAACAGACAAUCAAUAUACAUUAUCAGUUAGAGCAAGUAACAAAUACUACCCCUGUCAAAUGCGUGCUAGUGCUUCAAACGUUAACUCGACAAAUACAAGACAAAACGUUUUUGCAAAUUUAAUCUUCCAUCAAGACGAUUAGAAUCCUAUUGAAAUCCUAAGCCGAUGAUUAAAGUCACUUUUUGAUGUUUAGCCUUUUUUUUCCAAGUCAUAUAACAUCGAAAAAUGAAACAAACGGAAGCGAGUUUACGAAUUUAUCCGAAUUAAAAGAAAAACUGGUAGAAAUUACGAGAGAAGACAUUUUAAUUUUGGAGGAUUUAAAGACACGCUUCGAUUGCACAGAUAUAUUAAUAUAAAAUUCUAAGUAAACUUAAAAAUGGUUUUAGUCGCGUUAGAACCGCAGAAAGGAAUUUACUAUCGAAAUUAUAAAGUUAAGACUAAAUUUUUAUCGACGAUUCUAAAAAAUGCUUUUUAACGCAGUUAAAAUAUAAAUACUCAUCCAUCGACUAUUACCGAAAUUUAUAUUCUUUUUUUAAGAAAUUUGAUUGUCUUAGAGUGAUUAUUUUCACCACGGUGAAAACAAAUGGGGAAAAUAACAUCUUCCGUUGAGUCAUUUUUCGACGUGCCAAGCGUGGUUUAAGGUUUUAUUUAAUUAUAAUUAGGUUGAUAAUAAUUGAGAAAAUGCUUUCAGACAAAAAGCAAAAAAGACCCCCGAAGUAAUGAAGAUAAAUUUCAAAGGGCUUUAAUUAGCCAUUUGUUUGCGUCGAGAUUAAAAAUGAUUUAUCGGGAACGGCGUUAAGUGGAAAUCGUUUAAUAAGCGUUGCCGAUAAGCUAAUAAGCUACCGAUAACCAGUCUACGUUAGCUUUUAUCUGCAAGGGAAGUGGUUCCGUUUCUUUUUCGGUAAUCGUGUUUUUAAUUUUAAUUAAAAUACCGGACAUUGCAGAUCGCCAAAGAAUUUGUUUUUGGACAAGAGUCGAAGAUGAAGCUGCAUUUUCUUGCAAUUUGCAUUUUGUCCUGUCUUCCCCUCUGUCUGUCGUUCAGAUUGGCCAAAAGGGAGCAAAAAAUUCCAGACUGGGCCACUCGCUGUGGCAUUGAUUUCAAUCCAUCUCCUGACAAACAUUAUGAACAACGUUGUAAUAUUGAAGAAAAGAUAUUGAUUUGCAUCAUGGUUUGCAAACCUGGUUGGCGAGCUAAAGAAGGGAAUGCAAACUCUCGAAAAGAUUAUCGGGCUUGUUAUGAUACUGGAGAAUGGUUGCCAGAAGUACUGCCAUUUAAGAGAUCAUUCAGUUGUGAUAUAGAAAUAAAAAACAGCAUUAAUUUAUAGUGGUAAGAACUACUAUGGCCUCCAGGCCUGGGAGAAAAAUCCUAAGCUCUCCUCUUGGCUAUCCUGCUUGUUGUAACAUUACCUUUUAAUAUAUAAUUCAAGCUUAUAUCUAUAAUUGCACCAGAACUUAAAAUGUCCUGAAGAUACUGACCAAUUAGCCUUUUCUUAUGGAUCUGAUGAAGUGUUUGAUGAUGAGGAGACAAAUGAGGAAAAUGAAGGUGAAGACAAAAAAUAAUUUGUAAACCAAUUUUCAAGAAACCUGUAUUAUACAAAAUAUUUUGAUUUCAAUAAACUAAAAUAAAUACUGUGAACAAAAUCUUGGUCUGAUUUUAAAACUGGGUUUUAUUUAUAUUUUAGACAGAUAACCUAAAAAUUAGGAUUUAUCUAACAAUUUGGAGGGCUUAUCACACCAAGGCCUAUUUUUUAGGUUAUCUAACUCUAUCUAAUUUAUAGUCGUGGGCUAAAAGCGUCGUUUAUUAUGACAGUUUUCAGUUAGAAUUAUUCUGUUGACUAGAUGGUCAGGGGGUAACUUGCAACCCAACAUAACUUGCUCAAGUGGUAGGUACUUAGAAAUCUUUAGGCUAGCUGCCAUUUCCUUGUGGGAUUAU
Molecule: RNA transcript, 3688 nt
Organism: Centruroides sculpturatus (bark scorpion)
Lineage: Eukaryota; Metazoa; Arthropoda; Arachnida; Scorpiones; Buthidae
Exons: 6
Source: RefSeq, a predicted model, not a curated record